RNAcentral lists this transfer RNA (361 nucleotides) under uncultured Microcystis sp. RNAcentral describes it as "partial 16S-23S ribosomal RNA intergenic spacer". The stretch from base 136 to 209 matches the Rfam family "tRNA". Lineage: Bacteria; Bacillati; Cyanobacteriota; Cyanophyceae; Chroococcales; Microcystaceae. The record is from RNAcentral.
AAAGGGAGACCUAAUUCCGGUAGGAGACGAAAAAAAAGUAGUCCCUACCAAGAAUCAAUCCCAAAAGGUCGGAGCGAGGCGAAAUUGGCUUUCAAACUAGGUUCUGGGUUCACACAAGACCUGAAUCAGGAACAAGGGCUAUUAGCUCAAGUGGUUAGAGCGCACCCCUGAUAAGGGUGAGGUCCCUGGUUCGAGUCCAGGAUGGCCCACCUGCACAGGUGGCAAAAACAAGAGAAGCGAGGAAUCAGCACCUUAUCUUACUUAUAUAGUAAGAGAGAAUGCUGGCUCUGAGUAAAGAGUCCAGAGGAACCUUGAAAACUGCAUAGAGCUAGGUGAAAAAGCCAAAAAAGAAGACCGCAAG